This 1425-nucleotide ribosomal RNA is filed under the name Triticum aestivum (bread wheat). RNAcentral describes it as "partial small subunit ribosomal RNA". The record is from RNAcentral. Lineage: Eukaryota; Viridiplantae; Streptophyta; Magnoliopsida; Poales; Poaceae.
AUGGCUUUGGUCGCUCACUACAUAGAUGUCGAUUGGGUUAUGCAAUGUCGUGUCCUGAACUUUAUUGAGUUAGAUCCACCACAUUCAGGAAGCAUCAUAGCUCAAGCAAUAUUUGAAUGUUUAUGUGAAUGGAAAAUAGAGGACAAGGUCAUCUCAAUCACAGUUGACAAUGCUAGAAAUAAUGAUGGAGCUGUGAGGAAUUUGAUUAACAAGUUUGUUGCAAGGAAAGUACCUGGCUUCAUUUCCACACAUUUCCAUGUUCGUGGUUGUGCUCACAUAGUCAACUUGGUAGUGAAUGAUGGUUUGGAACCAUUGCAAGCUUUUAUUAGCUUGCUAAGGGAAACUGUGAAGUAUUUGAAGAAGUCUCCUAGUCGCAUGUAUAAAUUCCUUGAAGUUUGUAAAACACUGAAUAUAGAACCUGGGGCUGGAUUAUGUCUAGAUGUGUCAACAAGGUGGAAUUCAACAUACAAGAUGUUUGAUUCUUGUACUCCCUAUAGGCCUGUUUUUCAUGAAUAUGCAGACUCUGAUAUGAAUUACACGUGGGAGCCUUCUCAUGCAGAUUGGAAUAUGUAUUCCAAGGUGCAACCAAUCUUGACGCAAUUUGCUGAGAUAACUAAGGUGUUAUCAGGAUUUGUAUACCCUACUGCAAGUAUCUUUUACCCUUAUAUAGUGACUAUCAAAAUGGAGAUAGUGGCUGCAUGUCAUUCUAAAGAUAAGCAUCUAUCAGCUAUGGCGUACACAAUGAUAGAUAAAUUUGAUAAGUAUUGGGCGGAGAAAAACAAUGUUAUGGUUCUUGCUACUGUUUUAGAUCCUAGGUGGAAGAUGAGAUUUGUUGGUUACUGUUUUAGAAAGAUUUAUGGUGAAACCAAGGGCUGUGAGGAGGAAGCUGAGGUUAGAAAGGAGUUGUACGACCUAUAUGACACUUAUGAGGCUAAGUAUCGCCAAAAGAAUUUUGCUACUCAAAAUACUGGAGGUACAUCUUUGAGUAUGCAAUCAAGGGCAUCAACAACCACAGUACGACCAAGUGGUUUUCGGAACUAUCUACAAGCAACAGCUACAGAAGCAUCUAAAUCAGAAUUGCUCCUCUAUUUGGAUGAAGCAAAUGUAGAUCCCGAAGACACAACAUUUGUGUUACUUGAUUGGUGGAAGGUGAAUGCUCAUAGGUUCCCCGUUAUAUCCAAGAUGGCACGUAGAUUCUUGACUAUACCCGCUACUAGUGUUUCUUCCGAGUCAACUUUCUCUACAAGAGGUAGAAUCCUUGAUGAUUACCAGAGUUCUCUACGUCCAGCAAUGGUUGAGGCAUUAGUAUGUGCCUCUAGCUUCAUACGAGGUUCACACCAGGACAAUCAACCACCAAUAAUAGUGGAUGAGGAGGAGGAUGUUGAAUUCAUACCAUUUCCUAAGAGUGAGGUGGCAAGCUCUUGA